AAUCAACGCUGGCGGCGUGCCUCAGACAUGCAAGUCGAACGAUUAAAGCUCUCUUCGGAGAGUGCAUAGAGUGGCGCACGGGUGAGUAACACGUAAGUAAUCUACCUUCGAGUGGGGGAAUAACGUCCGGAAACGGACGCUAAUACCGCAUAAUGCAGCGGCAUCGUAAGAUGACAGUUGUUAAAGAUUUAUCGCUUGAAGAGGAGCUUGCGGCAGAUUAGCUAGUUGGUAAGGUAAUGGCUUACCAAGGCUACGAUCUGUAACCGGUCUUAGAGGACGGUCGGUCACACUGACACUGAAUAACGGGUCAGACUCCUACGGGAGGCAGCAGUCGGGAAUUUUGGGCAAUGGGCGAAAGCCUGACCCAGCAACGCCGCGUGAAGGAUGAAGUAUUUCGGUAUGUAAACCUCGAAAGAAUAGGAAGAAUAAAUGACGGUACUAUUUAUAAGGUCCGGCUAACUACGUGCCAGCAGCCGCGGUAAU
Molecule: ribosomal RNA, 483 nt
Filed under: uncultured bacterium
Lineage: Bacteria
Description: bacterial SSU rRNA
Rfam family: Bacterial small subunit ribosomal RNA
Source: RNAcentral